RNAcentral lists this ribosomal RNA (469 nucleotides) under Dryophylax nattereri. RNAcentral describes it as "partial small subunit ribosomal RNA". Lineage: Eukaryota; Metazoa; Chordata; Lepidosauria; Squamata; Dipsadidae. The record is from RNAcentral.
ACCCUACUAUGCCUAGUCGUAACACAACAAUAAAAUAACUAAUUGUUCGCCAAAUAACUACGAGCGUGAGCUUAAAAUUUAAAAGACUUGACGGUACUUCACAACAACCUAGAGGAGCCUGUCUAAUAACCGAUACCCCACGAUUAACCCAACCUACCCUAGCCUAACAGUCUAUAUACCGCCGUCGCCAGCCUACCUUGUGAAAGAUAUUAAAGUAGGCAGAAUAAACCACCUUUAACACGACAGGUCGAGGUGUAACUAAUGAGUAGGCAAAAGAUGGGCUACAUUUUCUAAUACAGAAAAAACGGACAAACUAUGAAACUAGAAACUGAAGGCGGAUUUAGCAGUAUGUUAAGAAUAAAAUACUUAACUGAAACCAACGCAAUGAAGUGCGCACACACCGCCCGUCAUCCCUGCCACAACCACAAUAAAUUCAUAAAACACACCACCAUAUAAAACAGGGCAAGUC